UACAGAGAUCCCAAGCGUUGUUCGGAUUCACUGGGCGUAAAGGGUGCGUAGGCGGUCGGAUAAGUCUGAUGUGAAAUCUUCGAGCUCAACUCGGAAACUGCAUCGGAAACUAUUCGGCUGGAGGAUUGGAGGGGAGACUGGAAUUCUCGGUGUAGCAGUGAAAUGCGUAGAUAUCGAGAGGAACACCAGUGGCGAAGGCGAGUCUCUGGGCCGAUACUGACGCUGAGGAGCGAAAGCGUGGGGAGCGAACAGG
Molecule: ribosomal RNA, 253 nt
Filed under: uncultured bacterium
Lineage: Bacteria
Description: partial 16S ribosomal RNA
Rfam family: Bacterial small subunit ribosomal RNA
Source: RNAcentral